Molecule: ribosomal RNA, 322 nt
Filed under: uncultured Sandonidae
Lineage: Eukaryota; Cercozoa; Glissomonadida; Viridiraptoridae
Description: SSU rRNA
Rfam family: Eukaryotic small subunit ribosomal RNA (bases 112-322)
Source: RNAcentral
GAUUUCUGGCUUGAAACAUUUGGCCGGCCACGGUUUCGUGUGUUAGUGCUUUGUGUUCUGGCCAUCCUUCCAAUGGCUGCUCAUUUAUCUUCAUUGAUGGGUGAGUGGUAUUGGAUCUUUUACUUUGAAAAAAUUAGAGUGUUUCAAGCAGGCUUUAUGCUAUGAAUACAUUAGCAUGGAAUAAUAAUUUAGGACUUCGGUUCUAUUUUGUUGGUUUCUAGGACUGAAGUAAUGAUUGAUAGGGAUAGUUGGGGGUGCUAGUAUUCAGCGGCCAGAGGUGAAAUUCUCGGAUUCGCUGAAGACUAACUUAUGCGAAAGCAUU